Long non-coding RNA from Arachis duranensis, 1148 nucleotides. RefSeq lists it as uncharacterized. The transcript has 4 exons. The record is from RefSeq and is a predicted model, not a curated record. NCBI's taxonomy places the organism in Eukaryota, Viridiplantae, Streptophyta, Magnoliopsida, Fabales, Fabaceae.
AACUCGAGUGUUGUUGACAAAUGCUGCACAUGUUUAUUUGAAGCAUCUUAAUUUAUCCAAGCACACCAAGAAGCUUUCUCUAGCAAGCAGAGCUAUUUUGCUAUCUGGUCCUGGAGACUAUGGUGAUUGGUUACUCUCUAGGUGUUGGACCUAUUCCUUGCUAGUUUUCCUCAGUGAAAAGUGGAGGAGUUCAACCUUUUAUUUUCAUGGAUUUAAUAAGCAGUUGUGUGAUUCUUUCUCUUUCGAAGUUUUAGUUUGGCUUCUGUUGAAAAUUUCAUGAAAUGUUUGUUCUUUUUCUGAGCAGGCAGAGGAAGGCAGUGAUGAAGUCUAUUGCCAGGUCUUGUUGGUUCCUGAAAGUGAGGUGAGAUUUAUACAAGACUAUGAAUUCUGAAUUAUGAAUUUAGGAUAUUUAUGAUCUUAAUUUGUUUUAGUUUAGAUUUGAAGAAGAAAUUGAGAAACAUACUUCAAAUUCUCUCAACAUUUUAGUACUACUUAGUGCCUAGACCUUAGGGGUCAAUUAAAAGUAAGAUUGACUAAGCUUUGCUUAAUUUAGCUGCGUGUCAUGUUUCUGGGAAACCAAAUAACACAAAAAGUACACAACGGUACCUGUGUAUUUGUCUAUGUUACCUAGCUCUUCAACUUUACUUUCUAACAGGUAAAAGAGAAGUACAAAGUUUCUUGUUAGAAGAGUGAAAAGGAAAGGAAAGAUAUGUGUUUACUAUUAAAUGAAGCGCCUCUAUUAGUUGAUGCUGAUGGUGAAGAAGAUGAUACUGAAGCUGUGGUGAAGUCAACAACACCCCAUAUGUUUUGCAAGACUCUUACUGCUUCUUACACUAGCACUCAUGGUGGAUUUUCUGUGCCUCGUUGAGCAGCUGAAGAUUGCUUUCCUCCUCUGGAUUACAGUCAACAGAGGCCUUCACAAGAGCUUGUGGCGAAGGAUUUGCAUGGCCUUGAAUGGAGGUUUAGACAUAUAUACAGAGGGCAGCCACGGAGACAUUUGCUCACAACUGGAUGGAGUGCAUUUGUGAACAAGAAGAAGCUUGUGUCUGGAGAUGCUGUGUUAUUCCUUAGGGGUGACGAUGGAGAAUUAAGACUAGGGAUUCGUAGGGCUGCUCAGUUGAAGAAUGGUUUGACAACUCUUUUACUUA